ACACAUUCUAGAGCCUAAUUCAUUUUAAUUAAUAAUUAAAAUUACAUUCAAAUCCAAAUUAUAAAUAAUAAUGCUAAAACUUAUCCUAAAAUAAAUUUAUUGUAAUCCAUCUCUACUUAUAUAAGCUGCACCUUGAUCUGAUAUUUAAUAUAGUUUUAUAUUCUAAUUAUAUAUUUCUAAAAAUAAUUAACAACGACGAUAUACAAGCAUAAUAAAAGUUUUAUUAAUCGUGGAUUAUCGAUUACAGGACAGAUUCCCCUGAUUGGAAUAAAAAACCGCCAAAUUUUUUGAUUUUAAAGAACAUAGCUCACAUUUAUCAGGUCUAACUAUUAACAUCUAGAAUAAUGGGGUAUCUAAUCCCAGUUUAAAAUCUAGAUUUCUUAACCUCAUAAUCAAAAAUUUAUGUAAAAAUGAAAUAGGAUUUCACCCAAUAUUCCAAUAAAUAAAAUUUAUUUAUUAUUAACUAAGAUUCAAAAACCGAAAAAAAAUAGUUGUAUUAUUUGUUUAACCGCA
RNAcentral lists this ribosomal RNA (513 nucleotides) under Dematochroma sp. JGZ-48. RNAcentral describes it as "partial 12S ribosomal RNA". Lineage: Eukaryota; Metazoa; Arthropoda; Insecta; Coleoptera; Chrysomelidae. The record is from RNAcentral.